This 1974-nucleotide ribosomal RNA is filed under the name Salmonella enterica subsp. enterica serovar Rissen. Its description in RNAcentral is "partial 23S ribosomal RNA". It matches the Rfam family "Bacterial large subunit ribosomal RNA", at positions 123 to 2088 of the family's 2925-position model. Lineage: Bacteria; Pseudomonadati; Pseudomonadota; Gammaproteobacteria; Enterobacterales; Enterobacteriaceae. The record is from RNAcentral.
GAAACCCACUGCUCGUAAUUGAGCAGUAUCCAUAUCUGAAUUCAUAGGAUAUGAGAAGGCAGACCCGGGGAACUGAAACAUCUAAGUACCCGGAGGAAGAGAAAGCAAAUGCGAUUCCCUGAGUAGCGGCGAGCGAAACGGGAUUAGCCCAAACCAAGAGGCUUGCCUCUUGGGGUUGUAGGACACUCUGUACGGAGUUACAAAAGAACGAGGUAGAUGAAGAGGUCUGGAAAGGCCCGCCAUAGGAGGUAACAGCCCUGUAGUCAAAACUUCGUUCUCUCCUGAGUGGAUCCUGAGUACGGCGGAACACGUGAAAUUCCGUCGGAAUCCGGGAGGACCAUCUCCCAAGGCUAAAUACUCCCUAGUGAUCGAUAGUGAACCAGUACCGUGAGGGAAAGGUGAAAAGCACCCCGGAAGGGGAGUGAAAGAGAUCCUGAACCCGUGUGCCUACAAGUAGUCAGAGCCCGUUAACGGGUGAUGGCGUGCCUUUUGUAGAAUGAACCGGCGAGUUACGAUCCCGUGCAAGGUUAAGUUUGAAAAGACGGAGCCGCAGCGAAAGCGAGUCUGAAUAGGGCGCAUGAGUACGUGGUCGUAGACCCGAAACCAGGUGAUCUACCCAUGUCCAGGGUGAAGUUCAGGUAACACUGAAUGGAGGCCCGAACCCACGCACGUUGAAAAGUGCGGGGAUGAGGUGUGGGUAGGGGUGAAAUGCCAAUCGAACCUGGAGAUAGCUGGUUCUCUCCGAAAUAGCUUUAGGGCUAGCCUCAAGGUAAGAGUCUUGGAGGUAGAGCACUGAUUGGACUAGGGGCCCCUACCGGGUUACCGAAUUCAGUCAAACUCCGAAUGCCAAAGACUUAUCCUUGGGAGUCAGACUGCGAGUGAUAAGAUCCGUAGUCGAAAGGGAAACAGCCCAGACCGCCAGCUAAGGUCCCAAAGUAUACGUUAAGUGGAAAAGGAUGUGGAGUUGCUUAGACAACCAGGAUGUUGGCUUAGAAGCAGCCACCAUUUAAAGAGUGCGUAAUAGCUCACUGGUCGAGUGACUCUGCGCCGAAAAUGUACCGGGGCUAAACGUAUCACCGAAGCUGCGGACUGUUCUUGCGAACAGUGGUAGGAGAGCGUUCUAAGGGCUGUGAAGCGAGACCGGAAGGACUCGUGGAGCGCUUAGAAGUGAGAAUGCCGGUAUGAGUAGCGAAAGAGGGGUGAGAAUCCCCUCCACCGAAUGCCUAAGGUUUCCUGAGGAAGGCUCGUCCGCUCAGGGUUAGUCGGGACCUAAGCCGAGGCCGAAAGGCGUAGGCGAUGGACAACAGGUUGAUAUUCCUGUACCACCUCCUCACCAUUUGAGCAAUGGGGGGACGCAGGAGGAUAGGGCAAGCGCGGUAUUGGAUAUCCGCGUCCAAGCAGUUAGGCUGGGAAAUAGGCAAAUCCGUUUCCCGUAAGGCUGAGCUGUGAUGGCGAGCGAAAUAUAGUAGCGAAGUUCCUGAUUCCACACUGCCAAGAAAAGCCUCUAGCGAGGUGAGAGGUGCCCGUACCGCAAACCGACACAGGUAGGCGAGGAGAGAAUCCUAAGGUGAUCGAGAGAACUCUCGUUAAGGAACUCGGCAAAAUGACCCCGUAACUUCGGGAGAAGGGGUGCCCCGGUAGUGUGAAUAGCACGAGGGGGCCGCAGUGAAAAGGCCCAAGCGACUGUUUAGCAAAAACACAGGUCUGUGCGAAGCCGCAAGGCGAAGUAUACGGGCUGACGCCUGCCCGGUGCUGGAAGGUUAAGGGGAGUGGUUAGGGGUAACCCGAAGCUAUGAACCGAAGCCCCAGUAAACGGCGGCCGUAACUAUAACGGUCCUAAGGUAGCGAAAUUCCUUGUCAGGUAAAUUCUGACCCGCACGAAUGGCGUAACGACUUGGGCGCUGUCUCAACGAGAGAUCCGGUGAAAUUUUAAUACCUGUGAAGAUGCAGGUUACCCGCGACAAGACGGAAAGA